Molecule: long non-coding RNA, 137 nt
Filed under: Ornithorhynchus anatinus (platypus)
Lineage: Eukaryota; Metazoa; Chordata; Mammalia; Monotremata; Ornithorhynchidae
Description: lncRNA (ENSOANG00000049522.1)
Source: RNAcentral
AACAGAAGCCACUGGGAGCAGCCAGCUGAAUGGUAGCCUACUGAAGAUCAAAAUCAUACCUUCCUUUGCUAAAUGUGGAGAGGAGAAAUGGAUUAACUAGGGAGGUUUUCGUUGCUCUUGGACCAACGGGAGAACCG